RNAcentral lists this transfer RNA (62 nucleotides) under Bambusiphaga taibaishana. Its description in RNAcentral is "tRNA-Tyr". The record is from RNAcentral. Lineage: Eukaryota; Metazoa; Arthropoda; Insecta; Hemiptera; Delphacidae.
AAUAGAGUGUCUGAUUAAAGUAAUAAAUUGUAAAUUUAUUUAAGGGGAUUUCUCCUCUAUUA